UUACAGAAAAACUAAACUAGACUAAACUUGAUGAAAACUUAAUCACUUUACAGAAGGAGAAAUUAGUGAUGGGUAAGGCUUUGGAGCUUGUGGCGCUCUUCCUGAAGCGGAGUGGUUCGAAACACUGUGUCGGAGCUUGUAUCACAAUCAUUGCUUCAAAAUGUUUCGAAGCGCUUCAUCAAAAUGGAGUUGUGAGGAGAUUAGGAGAGUGAAAGGAGAUUUGGAGAUUUGAAAAUUCGAAGUUAUUGUCAUGGCAAGUACAAGCACUAUGCGGCAUUCUAAAGUUUGGGAUCAUUGGGAUCUAAUACCACCAAAUAAGAUAUAAUCCAGUUCAUGGCCUACAUUCUAUAUUUCCAUUAUUGAAUUGGAUUUUUCAUUUUUAAAUGGGUCUCAAAUGUACAAUUACUUGUAGGUGCGGUGUUUGCUCUGCACACAAGAGUUGUCUUACAACAACAACACGUCAUCCAUGCUGAGACACUUGCGUGCCAGGCAUGACAUGCCGAGCAAAGCAGUGACCCUGUCAACACUGGGACUCUUGACUUGUCAAGAAACCAGAAGCUGGAUGAGGCCCUGGUGGACAUGAUAGUUAAAGAUGGCCAGCCUUUUUCUAUCGUUGUUCAAGAGGUGGAAACUAGAUGGAACAGCACUUAUGCCAUGCUCCAUAGGCUUUGUGAGCAGCGAGAACCAUUAGGGGCAUCCCUGGCAUCCCUUAGCACUGACAUAGUGCCAUUCACUGCAGAUGAAUAUGCAGCAGUCAACCAAUGCCUGACAGUUUUAAGGCCAUUCUAUCAGGCAACUGUUGAGCUCUCUGAGGAAAAGAGAGUGUCAGGGUCAAAGGCCAUACCUCUUGCAAAAAUGUUAAGACACGUCAUUUCGGUCGAAUGUGCCCAAAUGGCUCCUUGUAUUGGUGCCACACUGGCAUUUAAAAAACAAUUUGUGUGAGAAAUUCAGUGACCUGGAAAAGGUGACCUCCCUGUCAGUGGCCACCAUCUUGGAUCCACGGUGCACCGGCCUUAUUGAUGGGUCGACGGACGUAGUGCCACAUGAGACUGCAACAGCAUGUACCAGUGCCAGCGGCAGUGAACUACAAUUUGUGGGCUUUGCUGGACAAAUAUGUUCAGUCACAGCACCACACCAGCAGUGCAUCUGCCAGUGCUACAGUGGAGAUCCAGAGAUAUUUAAAAGAGCAAAAUCUGGCAAGAGCAGAGGAUCCCCUGAAGUACUGGGUGGGAUGUAUCACGUUAUAUCCUACGCUGUGGAAACUUGUAUGCAAGUAUCUGUGUAUCCAGCAUCAUCCGUUGCCUGCGAAAGGAUUUCUCCAAAGCUG
Molecule: long non-coding RNA, 1327 nt
Organism: Solea senegalensis (Senegalese sole)
Lineage: Eukaryota; Metazoa; Chordata; Actinopteri; Pleuronectiformes; Soleidae
Exons: 3
Source: RefSeq, a predicted model, not a curated record